Molecule: ribosomal RNA, 503 nt
Filed under: uncultured bacterium
Lineage: Bacteria
Description: bacterial SSU rRNA
Rfam family: Bacterial small subunit ribosomal RNA
Source: RNAcentral
UCAGGAUGAACGCUAGCGACAGGCUUAACACAUGCAAGUCGAGGGCAUCACGGGAGUAGCAAUACAACUGGUGGCGACCGGCGCACGGGUGAGUAACGCGUAUGCAACCUACCUAUCAGAGGGGAAUAACCCGGCGAAAGUCGGACUAAUACCGCAUAAAACAGGGGCACCGCAUGGUGAUAUUUGUUAAAGAAAUUCGCUGAUAGAUGGGCAUGCGUUCCAUUAGGUAGUUGGUGAGGUAACGGCUCACCAAGCCGACGAUGGAUAGGGGAACUGAGAGGUUGGUCCCCCACACUGGUACUGAGACACGGACCAGACUCCUACGGGAGGCAGCAGUGAGGAAUAUUGGUCAAUGGGCGGGAGCCUGAACCAGCCAAGUCGCCGUGAAGGAAGAAGGAUCUAUGGUUCGUAAACUUCUUUUGCAGGGGAAUAAAGUGCAGGACGUGUCCUGUUUUGUAUGUACCCUUCGAAUAAGGAUCGGCUAACUCCGUGCCAGCCGCCGC